RNAcentral lists this long non-coding RNA (6354 nucleotides) under Coffea arabica (coffee). RNAcentral describes it as "long non-coding RNA (CARA_LNC007471)". Lineage: Eukaryota; Viridiplantae; Streptophyta; Magnoliopsida; Gentianales; Rubiaceae. The record is from RNAcentral.
UUUUUUUUUUUUUUUUAUAAACAAGAUUAAAGGAACAUAAAUUGAUUGGAGUAAUACCGAACUAAAUAAUACUAUAAAUAAGCUCACAAAUAACAGAAGAAGAAAUUAGAAAUUCAUAUAUGGUGACGCUUUAACUCAAGAUCUCCUGCGUCUACAGUUUUAAACUCUAAUCGCUAAAUGAAUGCUUCAUGGCACAGCGGCCAAGAUAAGCAUGACUAAUUGUGUAGCCAAGUUUUAUUUUGCUUAUAUUAAAUUGAUACAAUGUAUUUUUUCCACUUUGGCGAAAGAGUUUUGAUAGCCAAAUUUUUUUUGAAAUAAUAUUUUGGUUAUAUUAUAAACAUAUUUCUCAACCUAUCUUUCCAUAUUUUCAACUACUUUUUUAUCUCAUAUAUAUCUGAUCACAAAAAGUGCAAUAGUAAUUAUUCCAAAUAAACACAAAAGAACUAGAAAAAAACAAGUAGAGCCUGCUUUUUUUUUCCACCGUGCGAAUAAAAUCUUAGAAAAGCAAUAAAAUAUAAAAGUAGAUCAAUUUGGGUUUCUUUUUUUCAAAACAGAGUGUGUUUGGAUAAAAGAUUAUUUGGGACAAUUUUUUAAAAAAAAAUAUUGUAACACUUUUUUGAUGUGAUAUAUAUGGAAUAGAAAGGUGAUUGAAAAUUAUAUUAAAAAUGCAAGCAAGUCAAUAUGUGUAAAUAAGGUAUAAACCAAACACACUAAGAUUACUUCGGGAAUAAACUCAAAAAAGCAUCAUUGUGGGGAUAAAUUUUGAGAUUGAUUCACUUUGGGAAUAGUAUUUGAAAAGAGUAUUAUUUUGAAAAAAAAAAUACAAUCCCAAUGCAUAGGUGUCACUAUGAUUAAGUGUGAAGUAUGAAACCCACUUACCUUACCAAACGCCCCGCGGAUAUUUCAACAAUGCCGUUUUGACCAAAAAAAAAAAAAACUAAAUUCAAUCAAAUUUACAAUUAGGCAUCAAGAUGCAGUGAGGAAAUUUGUUGGCAUUCAAACCAUACUUUAGGCACGAGAAAGCGAUUGCGAAAGCACAGUAGUUAUUUCACAGCUGUGUCAAUGCCAUCGUCUGCAAGGGUACUGUUCCGCUCUCUGCCCAUCACAUGCGAUCAUUUUCAUGUAUUGCUUGGUAUACAAAAUCGUAUUGAUUAAAAAAAAUUAGUUUUAUAAAAAUAAAACAUUUCACUUACAAUCAAGUGCCACUAUCCGGUGCAAUGGUGAAUGGUACACUAAAUAUAACAAAUGCAAAAACUCGAUAGAACUGCUUCUCAUUAAAAAUAAAUUCCCUCCAAAAAAUGCUUCCUUGUUACAUUGCCCCCUAAAUGUUUAAUUGAAUUAAUUCACUCCCUGUGAUAGUAUAAUUGGAUGGAAUUCACCAUCAAAAGAUGAUGGUUUUACUCUCUGUGAUGGAUGGAAUUCACGGGCAAAAGAUGAUGACUUUCACUUAUGUUUACUCUAAAGCGUGAAAACUUUUGUUUUGUAUGCUAUUGAAUUUCGGGAUAAUUUCACAAACCUCCCCUGAUAUUUUUGAUAAUUUCACUCAACUCCUUUUAGGUUUAAGAAAUUACACUACCCUCCUUUGAUGUGAAAAUGUGACUAUAAUGUCAUUCACUUAAUAGAUAAUUCACAAUAUGAUGCAAGGGUUAAAUAAAACCAAGAAAAAGAAAAAGGAGAAAGAAACCCAACCUCUUUUAGUCUUUAUCAAUCACCAUUCCUUCUUUCUCCCUUUUCUCUCACUCUUGUAAGAACGAUUCUUUCUUCCUUUCUCUUAUCGUCUCUAUGUCCUUCCUCUCCUCUUACCUCUUCUCUAUAUCCAUAUCUUUGUCUAUCUUAAUGAUGACCUACCAUACCGUAACCAUCUCUGUUUACUUGAUGAAUAUGGCGUUAUUUUACUUGCAGAAGCAUAUUUCAUUUUCAACUAAAGAGAGAUGAAUGUGCUUGUAGUGAUGAUAAAAAUAAUGCAAUUAAUAAUUAGAAGCAUGGACGAGGAGGGAUUAGUAGAAAAAUUGUUGGGUUGAUUGUUAUCCUGAAAACUUGUAUAGGAUGUUAAUAAAUGCAUUUGAUUUUCUUUACUUAAUUAAUAUUGUUGGUUCUUGUUUUGUUAUAGAUGGUUUACUCUAUUUUACGACAUUAAUAUAUAUUUUUAUGGAGGUCAAAGUAUCGUUCUACUGGUGGUGGUAGGUGAGAUUAUUUAUUGUUUGUGGCAAUGAUGGAUAUUGAAUUGAAAUUUAGAGUAUGAGUUUGGUUGUUGUUUGUCAAAGGAGAAUUGAUUUUUUUAAAACAUUUAGGCUGAGAUGAUAUUACAAGACAGGGUUGACAUUUUUGGAGCUGCUAAAAUUCUUGAACUGUCAACCUGUUUGCUUAGUAGGUUUGUCACAUGUUUGGAAAUUAUUAGAUUUGGCGUUGAUAUUUGAAGUGUUUGCUUGAUAGUGGUGUUGUUUCAAAUUUGGAAGAAAGUGUUGAGAAAACUAAUUUCCUUUUGUCUUUUUAUAGAACAAGGGUACUUUAGGGUGUUUGAGAAAAAAUCUAGCCUGAUGGAUCUAUAUUCUUACCUAAAUAGUAAAAGCAAGGGUAAUUUCUAACAGCUAGUUUUUGAGUUUAUGAUAGAAAAGAAAGGAUGAGAAAACUUAAGCUAUGAGAGAAAAGAAGAAAAGAGAAGAGAAAUAAUUUUAAUGUUGUUUGGGAGUUUUGAAAAGAAAUGGAAUGAUUUUGAAUAUAUAUAUCAAUAAAAAAUUCAUUCAAUAGUUUUGUGAGGAUAAAAUGGGUAAUUUGAAAAAGUUUUGUAAGCUUCCAUCAAUUUUCCUUCGCUUUCCGCCUGUUUUGGUCAAAAAAAAUUUUGCAUUGCAGUAGCGCUUGGCAUCCUUCAAAAUCUGUUCGUUUCUUUUCUUUUCCAUCUCACUUAAAAAUCCCAAAUGUAGGAAAAUCCACCUUUCUCUUCCUUUUUUUACGUUUCCUUUGAAAUCUGAACUCCUAAACUAGCUGUAAAACUUAUGGGGAGCUCUCCGCAACUGUUAGAUACUUCAGGGAGGUUUGUGAAAUUAUCUCCAUGUACAAAGCCUUUUGAAAUUUCCACGUGGUGCAUUGUUAUUGUUAGGCCCCACAGGGUACUGGCCAGCUCGUUCCGUCCCCACACGGUGCAUUAUUGCGGUGCACCAGACCACAAUAAAUCAGAGUGGUACGGUGCUGGCUUGUUCGUUCUACGGUGCACCAGACCGGAAUAAAUUUGGUUCAAGCAUUAUUGCUAGUCCAAUGGAGAAAAAAAAAAAAGAAAAGUUAGAUUAAAACUAAAAUGCAUAAUCAAAUAUAGCUAUCUGUACACCUUAAACAUACUGUAAAAUAUUUAACUAUUAACAACUAAAAGUUUAACGAUAGUAGAUAAAAAUUACAAAAACGGUAUUGCUAAAUGAUGCGAAAGAGAAUUGAAAUUAUUUUGUGAAUUAAGUAUGUUUGGAUAGGAGAUUAUUUGAGAUAAUUUUUUGAAAAAUAUAUUGUAGCACUUUUUUGAUGUGAUAUGUGUGAGAUAAAAGUGUAGUUAAAAAAUAUGUUGAUGAUACAAGUAAGUCAGUGUGUGUAAAUAAGAUACAAACUAAACAAUCUCAUAGUCAGUGUGUGUAAAAUGAAAGUUCAUUUGGAAGUACAAUACUAAUGUCCUAUUUGAAUCGUUAUAUUAUAAAAUAUUUAAAGAAAUACACGGCAAUGAUUUGAUAUAUAUUAAAUAAAAAUAUAUUUAUAAAGAAAUAUAUAAAGAGUUUGAUGAUUCUUCCAUUUCGUCAAUCACUUCAAGAGAAAAUUCAUUUGCCCGAAAAAGACGCUCAGUUGAUGGUUCUACAGCCGUUGGACUCUUGCGUCGCUCACGAAAACAAUUUGAUCCUUGAGCACAUCUUUUGUUACUCCCUCUGUCUCAUUUAUUUAGUCAUAUUUGGAGAAUUGAAUUUUUUAAAAAUAGUGAUUUAAUUGUGAUGUUUAUACUUUUUUUUUCAAUUUUACCUCCAUAAAUUCAAAUUUUAAAUUUGAAUAGUAACAUGUAUUUGAUUAGAAAGAAUGACCAUAUUGAAAAGAGAUAUUAAAAGGCGUUUUAACUUUUUUAACGUGACAAUUAUUUUAGGAUAUUUUAAAAUAAAAAGUACUAUAUUUUCAAUGGAAUAGAAGGAAUAUUAUUUAUUAUCCUGUGUGUUCUUUUUUUGGCAACGUGAAUUAUGGCCGCUUGACUUUCAUAUUCUCGUCAUUAUAUUUUGGUCAUUGGUUUUUAUUUCUUUUUUUCAUUUCAAAUUGGUAAUCAAACUACCAUGACAUCGCCCCUACUCCAUCUAAUUUAAUCGAUAGGUAAAUAGAGUGUUUUAACUCUGAAAUGUGAAACCUUUUUGUUUUGUUGUAUGCUAUUGAAUUUCUUCAUGUACAAAGCCUUUUGAAAUUUCUUCAGUUGCAUUAUUGUUGUUAGGCCCCACACGGUCAUUCCGUCCCCAUGCGGGGCGGAAUUACGGCAAUAAUGCAACAUUUCUUUGCAACAUUUUCUUUUAGAGUCAGACAGCUCGUUGGAAAAAGCUGCAACCGAUAAGGCAUGAUUCCAUGACAUUUGUAAGAAGUUUUUUUUGGAGCUUAGAAGUGGACAAGGGGCGCGGACGGUUGCAGGUGUAAUCGUUCCGAACGAUUUUGGUCAUUUUUAAUUGCACGUAACUUCCUUUGUACAUCGCGUAAUUUUUUUUGUAUAUCGUGUAAUUUUAGAGCAAAUUUUUGUGGAACCCACACAUGACGUGAAAAUCGAGUUACAACUUGUAAUUUCAACCGCAUAAAUUUUUGAGACCAGUUCAUAGCCAUUAAUUGUUCAGGGAUGAUCAUGACCGUCCCUGCCCCAUUUCCCUUAGCAGUGGACAACUGGCGGUUAGCAGUGGGGCCGGUGACCAGGGGUGGGGCGGGGCCAGGGGAAGGGGAAUACAGCAAUAACAACUAAUUAAUUAAACAAAAUGUACAGCAAUGCACUGAGAAAUCUUUGCCAAAUUCGAUGCAUAAAAGCGAAUUGAGAUCCAAAACCCUACUAAUUCAAUUAGGAGAAUUGACAAGGAAGUAAGAAAGAAUCCAACAAGUUACUUGAGCAGUAGUACUACCACACACAGCUUCUCAGUGUCCUGUUUGAUUUCAACACUUACAACAGUUACUCCUUUCUAUAUCUAACACGCCUUCCUUUUUGUUCGAAGUUAAGACGUUAUCUGGAUUGUAGUUUUCUAAUGAAAAUUUUUUGUGUUUUUUAUUAAUACAUAUUUUUAUCAUUUUUCUUUCUCACGUGAGAAAAUGAUUUUAUUAAAACUACAAGCCAGCUACGCCACUCUCUCUUUUUAUUUCCAUCAUCCUUGAUGCCAGGGUACUCGGCCAAGACAAGAAUUGUCUCCGCCAGUAAAAUUUGCAAAUGACGAGAGGAAGAAUAGCAUAAUCAAAAAUUCAAUUCAUUAUGCUACCACAACAAUUGCAGCAUGAAGUAAGAUACCGCAUGCAAAAUGGCACAAAUAUUGUCAAAAAUCAAACCACAUGAAAAGAAGAAAAUGAAAUUCCAUUCGACCCCAACAAUCCUGCAAAUUACAAUAAUCACUAUAACAUUAGCUUCAAUUACAAUAGGAGGGAGGAUUGUCCUAAGUGUAAGCAUUCAUCAACUACUUCAUCAUCCCAAUUAAUCCCAUUUGUGGAUGGAUCAAGGAUCUGCCUACAGUUACGUAAAACAAGAAUAAAUUACUACUCCAUUUGUUAGUGCAUGUAAUGUGCAUUUGCCAUCACUUAAAAUCGAAAGGCGACUGCACUGCAGUCGUUCCUCCGAUGAUCCGUCCGCUGCUUUGAACUUUUCACCGCGGCAUCCGUCGCUUCAAUUAUUAUUGUUUCUUCUUUUGGAGCAUUCCAACUCUACAAACACUAAAAUCCCCAACACUAUAAACUAUCUCUUUGGCCCUUUUUUCUUUCUAUUUUGGCGAAACUUAAAUGCUUAGGACUUUUUUCUUUCUACUUUCUUUUUUUUUUAGGGCGGUUGUCCGGGCUAACUUUCUGAUUAAAGAUUUGGUGAAUUUCAGGGGAGCACCAAACGGAUUUACUCUACGAAGGCAAAGUACAACAAACAGCUACGGCAGUACACUUUUGACUUCGGGCACAACGAAAGUACAUGCAUUCCUUAUUAUAUAAGAAAACUGUGUAGUACACUGCGGGUUUCUCUUUUCCCAAUUCUUCCACGACGGAAAAAUCAACCAUGGCUUAAAGUAUCAUAGACCAAUUUGGUGGAAUAGAUCAUCGUACGAAUUAAGACUUUUUGAGACGACCAGCAACUAUUUUCACGCCAUACAAUGGCUUCUUGUCAGUUGUCAGGGGAUCAUUACA